Molecule: ribosomal RNA, 253 nt
Filed under: uncultured bacterium
Lineage: Bacteria
Description: partial 16S ribosomal RNA
Rfam family: Bacterial small subunit ribosomal RNA
Source: RNAcentral
UACGUAGGGGGCAAGCGUUGUCCGGAUUUAUUGGGCGUAAAGAGCGUGUAGGCGGCUUGGCAAGUCCGCUGUGAAAACUCGAGGCUCAACCUCGAGACGUCGGUGGAAACUGCCUCGCUAGAGUCCGGAAGAGGAGGGUGGAAUUCCUGGUGUAGCGGUGAAAUGCGCAGAUAUCAGGAAGAACACCCAUGGCUAAGGCGGCUCUCUAGUACGGUACUGACGCUGAGACGCGAAAGCGUGGGGAGCGAACAGG